CGACUCUCGACAACGGAUAUCUCGGCUCUCGCAUCGAUGAAGAACGUAGCGAAAUGCGAUACUUGGUGUGAAUUGCAGAAUCCCGUGAACCAUCGAGUCUUUGAACGCAAGUUGCGCCCGAAACCAUCAGGUCAAGGGCACGUCUGCCUGGGUGUCACGCAUCGACUUGCCC
This 172-nucleotide ribosomal RNA is filed under the name Nanobubon strictum. RNAcentral's name for it is "5.8S ribosomal RNA". It matches the Rfam family "5.8S ribosomal RNA". From Rfam's summary of the family: 5.8S ribosomal RNA (5.8S rRNA) is a component of the large subunit of the eukaryotic ribosome. It is transcribed by RNA polymerase I as part of the 45S precursor that also contains 18S and 28S rRNA. Lineage: Eukaryota; Viridiplantae; Streptophyta; Magnoliopsida; Apiales; Apiaceae. The record is from RNAcentral.